UUUUGUUUUCCAGUUUCUUAAACAGAUUUUUGACUUGUUGGCAAAGCUUCUAAAAUGUAAUGAUCGGGAGUACAAGUCCGAGAACAGAUUGCGGCGAAAUUUCUAAGUGUUGCAGAACUUUUUUUGGGCCGCCACCUUACGAGACGAUCAGCCGGAACACUGGCCGGGAUGUGGCACGCGAGGCAUCGUUCCCUACUUCGUUUUGGCCUCGGACAUCGAGCUGUAUCCUUCGCCGGGCCUGCUGCCCAUCUACAAAUCCACGAUAAAGUCACUAGUGCCAGUGGUCUAUGUGUUUCGUGUCUUCGAGGUGGAGUCGGCUGCAAGGGUGCCCAGCAGCAGGCUGUAGCUGCAGAGCAUGCUGUGCCAGUACCCUUCCACGUCACAUUCUGGCUCUAGAAACAGAGUUCAUUAUUCGUUAUAGAUUCUUUCGCGAAUUGCAAAUCAUUUACGGGAGUCGUGAGG
RNAcentral lists this long non-coding RNA (462 nucleotides) under Drosophila guanche. The record is from RNAcentral. Lineage: Eukaryota; Metazoa; Arthropoda; Insecta; Diptera; Drosophilidae.